UACAUUUGUGUGAGUAUGUGUUUAACUUGUAACCAAAGACUUAAAGUUGAGUACAAAAGUAAAACUUCCUUUGCAAUACAGAACUCACUGGUCAGCAUGAGCUCUGAUACACAUAACCAAUGUGGUA
Mastomys coucha (southern multimammate mouse) is the source of this 127-nucleotide small nucleolar RNA. RefSeq annotates it as small nucleolar RNA SNORA40. NCBI's taxonomy places the organism in Eukaryota, Metazoa, Chordata, Mammalia, Rodentia, Muridae. The transcript has a single exon. The record is from RefSeq and is a predicted model, not a curated record.